GGCAGGGCGAGGGCAGCGCCAAGAUGGCGGCGCGCUGCCAGUACUCAACAUGGCGCCUGUGCCCGCGGUUGCAGCCGAAGUAAGAGUGUCGAUUUUUCCGUGGUUAUAUUACCUUAGCGGUGCUAAAAACGAGGGGAAAGCUCGUGCGCUGGCGGAUGAGAGGAGUGCAGUGCUGUAGGGAAUGUCCUUCCUGGAUGACAUCUGAUACCAACUGAUCUGCAAUUUUUGUGUAAUUCUGUUAAUGGGAAAAGGCACUGAGGAACUGCAGGAAUGAAUUGGCCUCCCUGUGAGUCACGAGGUCUUAAACUUAGAAAUUCAGCUGUGCAAUAAGCAUGUGAUCUCAUCAGCAUGCCAGGAGAAAUUCCCAGAGUGCCUGAUCCUCAGCAGUUGGUUGGAAGCACCCCCAGCCCAGGGUUGUUUUGUGGCUGGACGGAAUUGGCUGCGAGUCCUGGUAGGAAUGAGCUCAUCCCAAGGAGUGAGCUCUGCCUGGUGUCCCCUGACCUCUGUGGGAACAGCGUGUGUGCAGCCUGCAGAGCACUGAUUUCAUGGAAUACAUGUUUACCAGCUGCAGCCAAGAUUUAUUGCCCAAUUCUGAGUGCUGUGGGGUGGCCUGUGCAGUCACUGAGUUCUCUGGUUUUCAUUGUGAAUAUGAAGAAAUAUGGGGGAAAAUUUAAUCUACUGCCUUUUGAUGAUGUGCAGAAGCACAACCAGUCCUGUAACAGAUGAGUAAGUUGGUUGCCCAGAGAGAUUGUAGAUCCCCAUCCCUGGAAGUGUCUAAAGCCAGGCUGGACAGGGCUUGGAGUAACCUGGUCUAGUGGAAAGUGUCCCUGCUCAUGGCAGGGGGUGGAACAAGAUGACCUUCAAAAGUCCCUUCCAACCCAAACCAUUCCAUGAUUCUGUGAAAUAAAAAUUACUUUAAAUAUGAUCUGCA
Molecule: long non-coding RNA, 931 nt
Filed under: Manacus vitellinus (golden-collared manakin)
Lineage: Eukaryota; Metazoa; Chordata; Aves; Passeriformes; Pipridae
Description: lncRNA (ENSMVIG00005019011.1)
Source: RNAcentral